UGUGAAGAAUAGCUUGACAAAGAAUCAAAAAGUAAUAGAAAAAAAAUGUAAGCACAUGAGAAGCGGGAAGCCUGUUAAACAACCAGAAGGGCCAUUG
Non-coding RNA from Chelonoidis abingdonii (Abingdon island giant tortoise), 97 nucleotides. Lineage: Eukaryota; Metazoa; Chordata; Testudines; Testudinidae. The record is from RefSeq and is a predicted model, not a curated record.